GAUUGUCUAAAAAUUUAAUAAUAAAUGACGUAAGUUACACUAUUUUACUAUUAAUUAUUAAUUUAUUAUUUGGUAAACCACUAUUUAUAUAUGAUAUGGGCUACAGCCUCGUACCUAAUCCAUAAUCAAACUUUUAUCUGUAUUAUUUCAUCAUCACUAGUCGACUGUGUUCAAAGUUCGAGAAUACAUCAACACAACAUGAUCUUUCUAUUUAUCUCUCUUAUCACUAUUUGCAAUGCAAACAAUGAUUAUAAAAUUCGACUUUCACAAUCUCUCUGUUUGGUUUCCACGAAUUACGAUACUACAAUUCUUGACCUAAGCACCUAACAACGUAAUAUAGAUGGCAGCGGUAGAGGUUUGUGGAUUUUGGAUAGUGUACAGUCUACAGAUGAGUCUGCUUAGCACUUUAUGAUAAACGAAUAAAGCUCUAUCACUUUUUAUUUCAUGAUUUUUAAAAUCUAAAUCUCAAAUUAUAUUCUUUAAUAAUGACUCCAACGUUCCACUGACUAAUCAGCACAGCAGAAUGCAGGAAAAUGGGAUGUGUCUGCAGCAAGCAUACUGAUAACCAUCCUACUAUAUUUCAGGUGGUAAACGUGGACGAGGAAGGCCAAAAAACUGCACGACGGUC
Long non-coding RNA from Nilaparvata lugens (brown planthopper), 628 nucleotides. RefSeq lists it as uncharacterized. The transcript is spliced from 3 exons. The record is from RefSeq and is a predicted model, not a curated record. Lineage: Eukaryota; Metazoa; Arthropoda; Insecta; Hemiptera; Delphacidae.